Molecule: ribosomal RNA, 643 nt
Filed under: bacterium EJ10-B11-19
Lineage: Bacteria
Description: bacterial SSU rRNA
Rfam family: Bacterial small subunit ribosomal RNA
Source: RNAcentral
GCUUACACAUGCAAGUCGAACGAUGAUCCGGUGCUUGCACCGGGGAUUAGUGGCGAACGGGUGAGUAACACGUGAGUAACCUGCCCUUAACUCUGGGAUAAGCCUGGGAAACUGGGUCUAAUACCGGAUAUGACUCCUCAUCGCAUGGUGGGGGGUGGAAAGCUUUUUUGUGGUUUUGGAUGGACUCGCGGCCUAUCAGCUUGUUGGUGAGGUAAUGGCUCACCAAGGCGACGACGGGUAGCCGGCCUGAGAGGGUGACCGGCCACACUGGGACUGAGACACGGCCCAGACUCCUACGGGAGGCAGCAGUGGGGAAUAUUGCACAAUGGGCGCAAGCCUGAUGCAGCGACGCCGCGUGAGGGAUGACGGCCUUCGGGUUGUAAACCUCUUUCAGUAGGGAAGAAGCGAAAGUGACGGUACCUGCAGAAGAAGCGCCGGCUAACUACGUGCCAGCAGCCGCGGUAAUACGUAGGGCGCAAGCGUUAUCCGGAAUUAUUGGGCGUAAAGAGCUCGUAGGCGGUUUGUCGCGUCUGCCGUGAAAGUCCGGGGCUCAACUCCGGAUCUGCGGUGGGUACGGGCAGACUAGAGUGAUGUAGGGGAGACUGGAAUUCCUGGUGUAGCGGUGAAAUGCGCAGAUAUCAGG